RNAcentral lists this ribosomal RNA (516 nucleotides) under uncultured bacterium. RNAcentral's name for it is "bacterial SSU rRNA". It matches the Rfam family "Bacterial small subunit ribosomal RNA", at positions 26 to 518 of the family's 1533-position model. The record is from RNAcentral.
CGAGGACGAACGCUGGCGGCGUGCCUAACACAUGCAAGUCGAACGGGGAUUUGUUUCGGCAGAAUCCUAGUGGCGAACGGGUGAGUAACGCGUAGGCAACCUGCCCUCCGGCCGGGGACAACACUCCGAAAGGGGUGCUAAUACCGGAUACGAAAUCUGUGCCGCAUGGUACGGAUUUGAAAGAUGGCCUCUGUUUAUAAGCUAUCGCCGGGGGAUGGGCCUGCGUCCGAUUAGCUGGUUGGUGGGGUAACGGCCUACCAAGGCGACGAUCGGUAGCCGGUCUGAGAGGAUGAACGGCCACAUUGGGACUGAGACACGGCCCAGACUCCUACGGGAGGCAGCAGUGGGGAAUCUUCCGCAAUGGGCGCAAGCCUGACGGAGCAACGCCGCGUGAGUGAGGAAGUUCUUCGGAACGUAAAGCUCUGUUGUUCCUGACGAACCUCCCUUCUAUCAACAACGGAGGGGACUGACGGUAGGGAACGAGGAAGCCACGGCUAACUACGUGCCAGCCGCAGC